GCACUAAAUCAUCCACAUCAUCAAGAACUAUAAGAACUUUUUUUCUUGAGAGCCUACGUCUAUCGAAAAGAGACAAUGUACCAUGAUUACUUGAAUUUUCUGCCCCUAAAAGAUCAGAAAGAAUUUCCUUUUCUACAUCAAACAAUGUGCAUUUUUCUAAUCUUUCCUUAACAUUUGCAACAAAACAUCGGCUUGUAAAAUGAACAGAAAUUCUAUCAAACACUUGUCUAGCAAUGGUUGUUUUGCCGAUACCGCCCAUCCCCCAAUUUCCUACAACUCGUACAUCUGGCGACCCAAGGCAUAACAAUGACUCAACAAUCUUGACUCGUGAAUCAAUUCCAACUAACCCAUCAUCAUAAGCAUCAUUUGGAUACACAAUAUUUAGUUUCUUCAAAGUAUAGCUGACAAUUUCCUCAAUUAACUUGGAGUCAGACCUGGUUAUAUACAUGGAAGGUACGACCAAUCAUCCACUAAAAAUAUAAAAAAAUAGGUAACCAAAUUUAUAAAGAAUACUAACUAGGUUUACAGCUAAAAUAAAAUUCAGGAAUCAUAUAAACAUAAAAUAAUAGAACAAGGACAAUUGUACUUACUUAAUGUUUUGNNN
This 604-nucleotide long non-coding RNA is filed under the name Jatropha curcas. RNAcentral's name for it is "long non-coding RNA (JCUR_LNC001531)". Lineage: Eukaryota; Viridiplantae; Streptophyta; Magnoliopsida; Malpighiales; Euphorbiaceae. The record is from RNAcentral.